CUCAGAAUGUAACUUUAUUUGGAAAUAGGGUCAUAGCAGACACAAUUAAGAUGAGGUUAUACUGAAAGGAAAAUUGUAGAUUUGGAAAACUAACUCCUUACAAGAAGGGAAAACAGAGGAGACAUAUGCACAGAUGGAGACAAAGUCAAGACACAGAGGGAGAAAACCCUGGGAAGAUGGGGGCAGAAGUUAGAUGCUAGAGCUGCAAGUCGAGGACACCAAGGACUACGGCCACCUCCAGAGGCUGGGAGAGACAGCGAGGACUCUCCCCGAGAGCCUUCAGAGGGAGCGUGGCCCUGCUCAAAACUUGGUUUUGGACUUCUAGGCUCCAGAACUGUGACAGAAGAAAUUCCUAUUGCUCCAAGCCAGCAGGAAUGCGUGGUGAUGUGUUACGGCGGUCCCAGGAGACCAACGGAGACAUGCUAAAUGUUCCACUCUUCCUUUCUUGAAUUCAUCCUGAGAGGAUGCCAUGGGAUGAUUGGAAGAAUAUUCAACAAGGUUAGCAGACCUGCUUCAAAUCAUGGCUUUAACUACUCACUAGUUGUAUGACCCUAAAAAGUAACCUCAUUUGUUUGAUUCUCAGUUUGAUCACUAGCAAAAUAGGGAUACAAAUAUAUAACAGACAGGAUUAGCUUAGCGACCAAGAGUGAUACGGAAUGGGGACAUGCUUUACAAACAGUAUAAAUUUUUCAGAUAUCAGUUAUUUGAUUUUUUUCUCUUAAGCAGAUUUUCUAGAGGUUUUCCUAUUUUAAGUUGCCCUCCAAAGAACCAUCUUAUGGAUUUAUUUACGAAUUCUCCUACUUUGUUGAUUUUCUAAUUCACUUAUCAUCCUUGUAUUUUUUAUUGUCUUGCUUUUCUUGGUCUUGUUUUGCUGCCCAUUUUCUAAAUUCUUUUAUUUAUUUAUUUCUUUGAGGAAGAUUAGCCCUGAGCUAACUACUGGCAGUCCUCCUCUUUUUUGCUGAGGAAGCCUGGCCCUGAGCUAACAUCAUGCCCAUCUCCUUCUACUUUAUACGUGGGACGCCUACCUCAGCAUGGCGUGCCAAGCGGCGCCAUGUCCGCAUCCAGGAUCCGAACCAGUGAACCCCGGGCCACCGAGAAUCAGAACGUGUGAACUUAACCGCUGCGACACCGGGCCGGCCCCCAUUUUCUAAAUUCUUAAGUUAGACGUGUAGUUGCUUUCUUUUCAUUUAUUCUUAUUCUUAAGUGAUAGCAUUAAUGCUUUGAAUUUACCUCUGACUACGGCUUUGGCUGUGUUGUAUACAUUUCCAGACCUGGUGUUCUCACUUUCUUUCCUAAAUAGUUCCUAAUUGUGUAUUUUUAAUAUUUCCUUCUUUGGGUUCUUGUUACUGCCAUCCCAUAUUCUCAGCAGUGUGUGUUAACCUUAGCGAUCCAGGGGCACCUUUGUUGUUAGCGUUAUGCUGAAGUUAGAGUAUUACGAUUCUCUAUAAAUGGCUUUCUUUCUGACAUGUUUUAAGCCAAGUACAUCACGGCCAAAACAUUUUUUUAAAAAAAAGUAAGGAGUUUUUAUUUCCUCAUCAUGAAAGCAUCAGUCACAAAAUAUUAGUUUUUUGGAUUCAGACGUUUGUCCGUGAGUGCAUGUCUAGAACAUCCUCAUGUCUUCCUCCUGAGCCCCCAAGAACUAAAGACAUCACAAUCCUGCUGAAAGGGGAAGUGAGAGCAGCAGUAGUCAGCGGCCGGGCCCUGGCUUAUGAAUUAUGCUCCCAGGGUCGUGGUCCAAACAAUGGUCUUCCUUUAAGCUUAACACAGGCCCGCUUUCUCCCUGCAACCUUCACAGACCACCUCAACGCAGCGGAUCUCUCCUUCCUCAGAUCACGUCCUUUGCCCACAAGCCUAGGACCCAGAUCCGGCUCCCAAACCAGCCUGUGAGCUCCCUGAGAGCAAGCCCAUCUCUUACACACUUCUUCUCAUCUCUCCUUCUACUCCCUAGCAUUUAGCUUCUUGAAUUAAAAAGGAAAAUAAAUACUGUUUUUGUUCAGUUACAAUUCUUGCGGACGUUUCCUGAGAGAGAACGUCACCGUGACAUUCAGGGUUAUAGAUUUUACAGCAGCCAAGCAGGAAAAUCAAGGCCCUUUUUAAAACCUUUAAAAGGACUGAGACUAAUACCUUGGAUGCAUGCUUUGAGGAGAAGAAACACCGGUUACAAACAUUACGGGACUACAUUUUUAAACACUGUGAAAACCAAAAGCAGCACAUUGCUAUUUGUCCAGCUAGAGCUACCCGAGGGCUCAUAUUCUGCCACGUUUGGUGGUGAUGGCACUGGGUCCAAAAUGAUUCCAACAAUAAUGUCUCACGUGUGUAAAAUACUUUACAAUUCACAAAACUCUCCUAUGUGUGAGCUCAUCUGACGCUCAAGGAAAACCUGUGAGGAAGGCAAGUUAGGGACUAUGACACCCAUUUUGAAAAAUAGGUUUUUGGGUUCAGAAAAGAUUGGCUGAUGUACCCAAGGUCACAAAGCUAGCAGGUAGCUGGAAUAGAAUUAAGCCCAGAUCUUCUGAGUCCCCAUAUCUAUUCUUAAGGCCAAAGCCACUCUCAGUUGAUUUGGAAACUCACGAAGUAAAUCUCGGCACUCAGUCAUCAGUUUCAAUGGCUAAAUGUUCACUCACCAAACACCCUUUGCACGUCCACAGACUUGGACAAGCAAGAAGACACAGUCCCCACCGUCAAGGAGCUCACAGACGAGGAACCCGAUCAUCAUAAUGUGCAUGACAAAUCUUACUUGCUGCAAGUGCUAUGCGAGAAUUAAGAUAAAAUAAGGAUAAUAAGAAGUAACUUUUACUGACUCCUCACUAUGUGCCAGUUUUUUCCUAAUCACUUUGCGCAUGCAGUGGGUACCAUAAUGUACAACCCCGCUUGGCACAUAGCAGGAGUUUAAGAGUGGCAGUCAGUAUUAUUACCAUAUUUCUUAAAAGAAUAAAAUCAGGGAUUGCUAUCUGAAAGAAAAGGGAAGUAUAUUUAAAUUUGAAAUUAUUCAGAGCAACAUAAUAGCAGAGCAACUAGCCACCUGGGGAACUCAGAACCGGAGGGGAGACAUUGGAACUGGGUCUUAAAGAAUGAGGAAGGGUUGCAGCCAGGGAAGGGAAGAGCAUUCCAACCAGAUCAAGGGCACUGCAGAGACAGGGGCCCUGGGCGGCAGGGCAGGGGAAGGCAUGGAGAGGAGGCACUGCCCUCUGGGCAGCCAGAGACAACACACAGAAGAGGAAAAAGGAGGUGGCCUCCAGCUCGAAAGCAGCCCGGGGGUGGGGCUGUCCCUGUGCCUGACCCAGGCACCGAGGGGGAGGCACAGAUUUUCCAAGGCUAUUUGUUUGUAGGUUACAUUUUUCCUGAACAGAAUCCAAAUUCCUUUGUUUUUGCAGAGAGUCUCAUAGUUUCCAAAGAAAAAACAGACUUCUUGGUCCAAGGGCUUUCCCUGAGAAAUAUCCUAACGGCUGCGGGCCAAGACAGGGCUCCACCACGGUCUGCAUUCAGAGAACAACAGAGCAGCCGGCUGGAAGCUUCUCCAGAACCU
This 3526-nucleotide long non-coding RNA is filed under the name Equus asinus (donkey). RNAcentral describes it as "lncRNA (ENSEASG00005033389.1)". The record is from RNAcentral. Lineage: Eukaryota; Metazoa; Chordata; Mammalia; Perissodactyla; Equidae.